This 152-nucleotide unclassified non-coding RNA is filed under the name soil metagenome. Its description in RNAcentral is "partial internal transcribed spacer 1". The record is from RNAcentral.
CCGAGUUUACAACUCCCAAACCCCUGUGAACAUACCUAUCGUUGCUUCGGCGGAUCCGCCCCGGCGCCCUCGGGCCCGGAUCAGGCGCCCGCCGGAGACCCCAAACUCUUGUAUUUCUUUAGUAUCUUCUGAGUAAACAAGCAAAUAGAUUA